RNAcentral lists this ribosomal RNA (305 nucleotides) under uncultured bacterium. RNAcentral describes it as "partial 16S ribosomal RNA". It matches the Rfam family "Bacterial small subunit ribosomal RNA", at positions 506 to 807 of the family's 1533-position model. The record is from RNAcentral.
ACAGCAGCAGCCACGGUAAUACGAAGGGGGCUAGCGUUGCUCGGAAUUACUGGGCGUAAAGGGAGCGUAGGCGGAUCGUUAAGUUGGGGGUGAAAGCCCGGGGCUCAACCUCGGAACUGCCUUCAAUACUGGCGAUCUUGAGUAUGAGAGAGGUGUGUGGAACUCCGAGUGUAGAGGUGAAAUUCAUAGAUAUUCGGAAGAACACCAGUGGCGAAGGCGACACACUGGCUCAUUACUGACGCUGAGGCUCGAAAGCGUGGGGAGCAAACAGGAUUAGAGACCCCUGUAGUCCCUGUCUCUUAUAC